RNAcentral lists this ribosomal RNA (765 nucleotides) under uncultured Prevotellaceae bacterium. RNAcentral's name for it is "bacterial SSU rRNA". It matches the Rfam family "Bacterial small subunit ribosomal RNA", at positions 68 to 826 of the family's 1533-position model. The record is from RNAcentral. Lineage: Bacteria; Pseudomonadati; Bacteroidota; Bacteroidia; Bacteroidales; Prevotellaceae.
GGCAUUUAGUGCUUGCACCGAAUGGACGUCGACCGGCGCACGGGUGAGUAACGCGUAUCCAACCUUCCCAUAACUAAGGAAUAACCUGCCGAAAGGCAGACUAAUACCUUAUGUAAUCCUUUGAUGGCAUCAGAUAAGGAUAAAAGAUUUAUCGGUUAUGGAUGGGGAUGCGUCUGAUUAGCUUGUUGGCGGGGUAACGGCCCACCAAGGCAACGAUCAGUAGGGGUUCUGAGAGGAAGGUCCCCCACAUUGGAACUGAGACACGGUCCAAACUCCUACGGGAGGCAGCAGUGAGGAAUAUUGGUCAAUGGACGGAAGUCUGAACCAGCCAAGUAGCGUGCAGGAUGACGGCCCUAUGGGUUGUAAACUGCUUUUGUAUGGGGAUAAAGUCAAUCACGUGUGAUUGUUUGCAGGUACCAUACGAAUAAGGACCGGCUAAUUCCGUGCCAGCAGCCGCGGUAAUACGGAAGGUUCGGGCGUUAUCCGGAUUUAUUGGGUUUAAAGGGAGCGUAGGCCGGAGAUUAAGUGUGUUGUGAAAUGUAGACGCUCAACGUCUGACUUGCAGCGCAUACUGGUUUCCUUGAGUACGCACAACGUUGGCGGAAUUCGUCGUGUAGCGGUGAAAUGCUUAGAUAUGACGAAGAACUCCGAUUGCGAAGGCAGCUGACGGGAGCGCAACUGACGCUGAAGCUCGAAGGUGCGGGUAUCGAACAGGAUUAGAUACCCUGGUAGUCCGCACAGUAAACGAUGGAUGCCCGCUGUUGG